RNAcentral lists this ribosomal RNA (593 nucleotides) under Trichoderma harzianum. RNAcentral describes it as "eukaryotic LSU rRNA". The stretch from base 218 to 371 matches the Rfam family "5.8S ribosomal RNA". The record is from RNAcentral. Lineage: Eukaryota; Fungi; Ascomycota; Sordariomycetes; Hypocreales; Hypocreaceae.
CUGCGGAGGGAUCAUUACCGAGUUUACAACUCCCAAACCCAAUGUGAACGUUACCAAACUGUUGCCUCGGCGGGAUCUCUGCCCCGGGUGCGUCGCAGCCCCGGACCAAGGCGCCCGCCGGAGGACCAACCAAAACUCUUUUUGUAUACCCCCUCGCGGGUUUUUUAUAAUCUGAGCCUUCUCGGCGCCUCUCGUAGGCGUUUCGAAAAUGAAUCAAAACUUUCAACAACGGAUCUCUUGGUUCUGGCAUCGAUGAAGAACGCAGCGAAAUGCGAUAAGUAAUGUGAAUUGCAGAAUUCAGUGAAUCAUCGAAUCUUUGAACGCACAUUGCGCCCGCCAGUAUUCUGGCGGGCAUGCCUGUCCGAGCGUCAUUUCAACCCUCGAACCCCUCCGGGGGGUCGGCGUUGGGGAUCGGCCCUGCCUCUUGGCGGUGGCCGUCUCCGAAAUACAGUGGCGGUCUCGCCGCAGCCUCUCCUGCGCAGUAGUUUGCACACUCGCAUCGGGAGCGCGGCGCGUCCACAGCCGUUAAACACCCAACUUCUGAAAUGUUGACCUCGGAUCAGGUAGGAAUACCCGCUGAACUUAAGCAUAUC